AAAGAGGGCUUAUUCAGAUUAUUCAUAACAUCACAAGAAUAGUAGAGCUGGUACAAUGCCUUCCAGCUCAUUCGAAGGAGAAUUUUGAAAAAGUAGAGCAUCACGGUAUCACACAGUUGACAGAAUAUAAAAUAUAAACUUAAGUUAGAAGGUGAUUAUUGGUCAUAUAUCAAGUACAUCAAGAUACAUGGAGAAUUCUAAUUGGCAGGGCUGUAUGUGAGGAAAGCAGAUCACAGUCGACAUUUCAGGUAAACUUCAAGACAGGAAACGUCUAUGCUGUAUAAAACAAAAAAAUAUAUACACUGAAACUUUGGUUGCAUGGAAUAGGAUUCACAAUCGGAUAAUCAGACAAAGUCCAGCAUACAUAAUAGAGCAAUGUCAGCAGAUUAACAUAACAUUAACAGGUAAGCAACAUACUUUAAAUUCAUCUUUUUUUUCUCUUACGAAUAGAUUUUAAAAUGUUCAACAUAGAUAUGACUGCCCAACUUAUUCAUCUAACAAAUCAUCCCACGCAAAGGGGAGGUGUCCGAGCCUGCAUGUGGUUGAAUCUCUCUUAGUCGGACAAUUCUAUAAAACACAUUCACAUUGUUUAGUGAUGAUACAUCCUCCAAGAGGCCACAUUUACCCAUCAGCAUGUUGCAUUAUAAGGUCGUUGUCAAAUUUAUCCUUUGGUUGGAGUUGCUCAAAACAUUCAAAUCAGUGUUAGCUGUUUUAAUUCAAUGACUGGUCAAAGUCCCGAAUAGCUGUAGAUAUAGUUAUAAAAAUCGGCCCAGAUACCGAACUGGUAAAGGGUCUGGUCACUGGUUCAGUGUUCCCAGGUUAAUUGAUAAGAUCUGGUUAUAUUAAAAAUAUUUAAUAAAUUUAAAACAUUUAAAAAUAAAUAAUAAAAUAUUAUUAGAAAAAUAUGUAUAAUCAGGGAUAAAUUUUUAUCUUAAAUACUAUCCUUUAAAUUGCAUGGGUCUAUAUUUUUCACUGCUUUUCAAUUGUAAGAAAUACAAAAUAAUCAAGAGAUCCUCUACGUUUUAGAAAAUACUUAUAUAUAACGUAGAAAAAUAUGUAGAACUUACUGAUAUUUUUAGUUUUAAAAAUAUCAAAAAGAAUAUAAUGAAAAAUACUUUUUUUUUUGGGGGGGGGGGACGCCAUUGUAUGAACAAAAGAAUUAAUUUUCUAUGUCACGAACUGUAGAGCUUACUGCAUUUUUUGAAAAAAAAAAAUUGAUAUACUUUUUUUGAUUUUAUAAGAAACAUAUUUAUUUUAAGGGAAGAACUCAUUAUGAAAAAUGGUAAUGUGCAUGAAAGAACUGUUACAUAUAUAUUUGAACUAUUACAGUAUAUCAUAAGUGAAUUUUAUCACGGUGGCUGAGUGGCUUGUGUACUUUUUUUGAUUAGGCAGCGGAUCAAAUCUGGUGCUGACAUCUUUUCUGUUAUAAUUUUGUACUCAAUCGAGCAUGUCUGGACCACCUGGUUCACCAGAUUUUUUUCCAAAAACUGGCAAGGCUGAUGCUUUUCAAUGAGUCCAACCGAAGUUCCAGUACUCAGAAGAAAGCAGAGCAGCCAAGGGUCCCGUUUCACCUGUUUUCAGUCGAACUGGCCAGUCCAGGCUGGUUUUUGUAACUAUGACAAUAGAGAUUAAAGCCCAAUGAAGAAUGCUGUUGUAUUAUUCCAUAACAUUUCUAACCUAUAUGAAGGCAUACAAUUACAUAAUGUUUUCUUUUCAACUUGAUCGUGGUUCUAUUGCAGUUUUAGUUUAGCAAUAAUAGUUCUGAUC
RNAcentral lists this long non-coding RNA (1767 nucleotides) under Elaeis guineensis (African oil palm). RNAcentral describes it as "long non-coding RNA (EGUI_LNC006090)". Lineage: Eukaryota; Viridiplantae; Streptophyta; Magnoliopsida; Arecales; Arecaceae. The record is from RNAcentral.